Molecule: ribosomal RNA, 460 nt
Filed under: uncultured bacterium
Lineage: Bacteria
Description: partial 16S ribosomal RNA
Rfam family: Bacterial small subunit ribosomal RNA
Source: RNAcentral
CCUACGGGAGGCAGCAGUGAGGAAUAUUGGUCAAUGGGCGCGAGCCUGAACCAGCCAAGCAGCGUGAAGGAUGACUGCCCUACGGGUUGUAAACUUCUUUUAUAAAGGAAUAAAGUGAGGCACGUGUGCCUUUUUGUAUGUACUUUCUGAGUAAGGAUCGGCUAACUCCGUGCCAGCAGCCGCGGUAAUACGGAGGAUCCGAGCGUUAUCCGGAUUUAUUGGGUGUAAAGGGAGCGUAGAUGGGUUGUUAAGUCAGUUGUGAAAGUUUGCGGCUCAACCGUAAAAUUGCAAUUGAUACUGGCAGCCUUGAGUACAGUAGAGGUAGGCGGAAUUCGUGGUGUAGCGGUGAAAUGCUUAGAUAUCACGAAGAACUCCGAUUGCGAAGGCAGCUUACUAAACUGCCACUGACAUUGAUGCUCGAAAGUGUGGGUAUCAAACAGGAUUAGAUACCCGAGUAGUC